GCAUACGGUGGCACCCGUCAAAUUGGCUGUGAAAUGUAAUUUUUAUUUUAAUCAUAUCACAGCCAUUUUUGACGAGUCCUGCCGUAAAG
This 89-nucleotide microRNA precursor is filed under the name Rhodnius prolixus. RNAcentral's name for it is "microRNA miR-13b precursor". The stretch from base 11 to 81 matches the Rfam family "mir-2 microRNA precursor family". From Rfam's summary of the family: The miRNAs are transcribed as ~70nt precursors (modelled here) and subsequently processed by the Dicer enzyme to give a ~22nt product. In this case the mature sequence comes from the 3' arm of the precursor. The record is from RNAcentral. Lineage: Eukaryota; Metazoa; Arthropoda; Insecta; Hemiptera; Reduviidae.